This 1969-nucleotide long non-coding RNA is filed under the name Mytilus galloprovincialis (Mediterranean mussel). Lineage: Eukaryota; Metazoa; Mollusca; Bivalvia; Mytilida; Mytilidae. The record is from RNAcentral.
UUUUUCUUAGCACCAUUACAAUGAAUGAACAAAAAAUCAAUUAACAUUAUAAAAAAUCUAAAAUGUUUGUCACAACUUUGGCUGUAAUAUAAUACCAUUAACGGUACCAAUGUUCCUGCAUCAGAUGCGCAUUUCGACAAUACAUGUCUCUUCAGUGAUACUCGUGACCAAAAUAUUUGAAAUCCAAAGCUUAUAUAAAAGAUGAAGAGCUAUACUCCAAAAGGUCAAAAAGUAUAACCAAAUCCGUGAAAGGAAUCAGAGCUUUGCAGGAGGGAGAUACAUUCCUUAAUUUAUAAUAAUUUCUAACAUUUUGUAACAGCAAAUUUUAAUAACACAAAAAAAUCCGUAUUUUCAUGCCAGUACCUUACAAGUUACCUGGUUGCACUUACAUAUAUUUUGUCGCAACACAUUAAGCUGAAACGGAGCAUCCUUGCAACCUUAUCAGCUGCAACAUUUAGAUAUAAUAUUUUUUAAACUUCAUUUUCAUAAUAAUAAUCUUUGUCAGUGAUAGUUUGAUUACAUAAAACAUGCGAAAACUUGUCCUAUUUACAAAUAGAUAAAGGACAAACUUUUCAGAUUUUUUUUUCACACCAGUUCAAUUUUCUUAAAUUCAAAGACUUGCAGAUUAAUGUGUGUAUUUGUUUGAUUUGAACGUUUUUGGAAUUUUGCUGAUAUAAUGUCAACAAAUGAACGUCAAUAAAUUGGCCAAAAAACUGCAGUUUUAAAGGAUUCUGGCAACUUUCUUCUGUUUAUUAAAAAGUUUAUACGUUGGACAUUCUUGUUUACCAACAACAUUACUUUAUCAAAAGUAAGACAUUGAUGUGUCUCUUAGAUCAAAAUUAGUUCAUUUUUGAGAGGAAUUUAAUUGGAUUGAUUUUCUUUUAAAUAGAUGCCAUAUUUUUUUUUCGAAAUUCCGUUCAACCACAACUUGGGCAAUGUUCUGUUUUUACCAUGGUGCAUAACUAACGACUAGAGAUAGACACAACUGAAUGUGGUUCAUUUCAAACUUGAUUUUCGUUUUUUAUUUGGUCUUUUAUUUGUAGAUUGUGUGGCGACUUAAUCAAAUUAUGCCAUGGGAACAAACACUAUACUAUUUUCCACUCUAUCAAAGGGCAAAACUAUAGCCAGUCAAAGUAUUUCUGAACUGGAUCUUUCUUAAAUGGUAUUUUACGUCAUUUCCAGGUCAUGUGACUUGAGGAAACUGACUUUGUUUGUGGUGAUGAAUCCAAAAAAAUAAAUGCUAUUUUCGCAUCACAAAAAAAAAUUCAUAAAGCCCUAAAAAAGUAUUGUUUGGGAAAAAACUCAUCAGGCUAUUACGAACAUUGCAUUUUUAACAAAAGAUGUGCAAGUAAAAAUAAAAACAAUCUAGAAACAAUACUAUUAACUGCCUUGCAUUUGCUUCACACUCGACAAAUAAAACAGUGAUAUAAUUUCAAUAAAUAAAUAAUUAUUUACAAACAUUUUUAUCAAUCAGAAUGGGUCCAUAGUACACGGAUGCCUUACUCGCACUAUCAUUUUCUAUUGGUAAAACAUCUAAUUUGGCAUUGAAAUCAAAAAGAUCAUAUAAUAGGGAACAUGCAUAAUAAGUUUCAAGUUGAUUGGACUUCAACUUCAUCAAAAAUUACAUUGACCAAAAACUUUAACCUGAAGCGGGACAGACGAACGAACGAACGGACGAACAAACAAACGAAAGCACAGACUAGAAAACAUAAUGCCCCUCUACUAUCGUAAGUGGGGCAUAAAAAAAAAUAAUACAAGACUAAAAAUUGACAUACAUCAAGAAAUUACUACCAAAUACAGGGGAUUCAUUAUUCGUUGGAUACAAAUUUUCAUGGGUUGCUUGGGUAAACAAGUAAACUACAAAUUUAAAUGUCCAUGAAAUACAAAUUUCCAUAAAAAAAUGUAUCCAGACUUUUGCAGAACUACGAAAUCACAUAUACACGAAAAUGCAAGGUUUCCGUAAUCCACG